UUGGUUAAGUUAGAAAGGGCGCACGGUGGAUGCCUUGGCACUAGGAGCCGAAGAAGGACGGGACUAACACCGAUAUGCUUUGGGGAGCUGUACGUAAGCGUUGAUCCAGAGAUUUCCGAAUGGGGGAACCCACUAUCUUUAGUCGGAUAGUAUCCUUACGUGAAUACAUAGCGUGAGGAAGGCAGACCCAGGGAACUGAAACAUCUAAGUACCUGGAGGAAGAGAAAGAAAAAUCGAUUUCCUGAGUAGCGGCGAGCGAAACGGAAAGAGCCCAAACCAAGAAGCUUGCUUCUUGGGGUUGUAGGACACUCUAUACGGAGUUACAAAAGAAAGUUAUAAAUGAAGCGGUCUGGAAAGGCCCGCCAAAGACGGUAACAGCCCGGUAGUUGAAAUGGCUUUCCCUCCAGAGUGGAUCCUGAGUACGGCGGAACACGUGAAAUUCCGUCGGAAUCCGGGAGGACCAUCUCCCAAGGCUAAAUACUCCCUAGUGACCGAUAGUGAACCAGUACCGUGAGGGAAAGGUGAAAAGCACCCCGGAAGGGGAGUGAAACAGUUCCUGAAACCGUGUGCCUACAAGUAGUUAGAGCCCGUUAAUGGGUGAUAGCGUGCCUUUUGUAGAAUGAACCGGCGAGUUACGAUUUGUUGCAAGGUUAAGCGGAAAAAGCGGAGCCGUAGCGAAAGCGAGUCUGAAUAGGGCGCAUAAGUAACAGGUCGUAGACCCGAAACCAGGUGAUCUACCCAUGUCCAGGAUGAAGGUAAGGUAAUACUUACUGGAGGUCCGAACCCACGCACGUUGAAAAGUGCGGGGAUGAGGUGUGGGUAGCGGAGAAAUUCCAAUCGAACUUGGAGAUAGCUGGUUCUCUCCG
This 866-nucleotide ribosomal RNA is filed under the name Listeria monocytogenes. Its description in RNAcentral is "partial 23S ribosomal RNA". It matches the Rfam family "Bacterial large subunit ribosomal RNA", at positions 1 to 861 of the family's 2925-position model. The record is from RNAcentral. Lineage: Bacteria; Bacillati; Bacillota; Bacilli; Caryophanales; Listeriaceae.